This is a long non-coding RNA of Xenopus laevis (African clawed frog), 25262 nucleotides long. RefSeq lists it as uncharacterized. NCBI's taxonomy places the organism in Eukaryota, Metazoa, Chordata, Amphibia, Anura, Pipidae. The transcript is spliced from 2 exons. The record is from RefSeq and is a predicted model, not a curated record.
AUAUUAAUGCUUCGACUCCUGUGUAUAAUUCAAAAGAUAAAGUUUGACCACACUUUAGUCAUGAAGAUUCUGCCUUUCUGCCCAAGGAAAAUCUGAUUUCCCACUCUACUCAAACUAUAUCAGGAAAAGUGUUGGAUCUGCCCACAGAGGGAAAAUCUCAGGCAAGAUCAACUAUAUUUCCAGAAGCUAGCCAAUCUGAAGUUAACAGCUUGACCAUUGAUAGUAUGAUUUUGGAGAGCCACUGUUUGACUUAUGAAGUUAUAAAAACCUAACAUAAACACAAUUUAUGUUCAUGUUUUUCAAAUCAAUGACAUGAUACUCUUUAAAUAUGAUUCCUCUAUACAUUUCCCCAUAAUAACUUGCUUAUUUUGUAGUCCCCUUCACCCCAUAUCGGGCUGUCCAACUGGCGGCCCGCGACCCCUCUUGUGCUGGGACUUCAGAAACAUCACCGUUUAUGAAAGGAGAUGCAAACUCCUAGCAUAUCUUCUCUAGUAUAAGCAAGGCAACCUUAAAUCACCUAAGCAAAAUCCAACCGCCAGUGCCACUUGGCCGGUUAGCUCAGUUGGUUAGAGCGUGGUGCUAAUAACGCCAAGGUCGCGGGUUCGAUCCCCGUACGGGCCACUUUUUAAAAUUUAAAGUGCAAUCUUCUACACAACAAUGAAACCUCUUCAUUCCUCUACACCUCGUCUCUUGUCUCUCCAUAUGUUCCUGGCCAAAUCCUCCACUCGUCUCAGAGCUACCACUCCUUUGCACCACGCCGCUACUACUGCUCUUUCUGACCUUAAACCCUUCUGUCUUGCUGCUUUGCCUUACAUUUGGAAUGCCAUUCCUGCAUUCAUCCAGAGAGAAUUCCCCCUUGGUUUCUUCAGAACUAAACUUCAAGAUUACCACUUUAAGCACUUGCAUAAGACCUGAACUAGGAACUGGCACUUAUAUGGCUGUCACGUACGGUAUCCCAAAAGCGAGAUGUAAAACCACAAGGCCCUGGCUCACGCUUCCCUUCUGCCACUCACAACCGCCUUUCGCUUCGGGAGGAGCCCUCUGCUGCGCAGAUGCCGCCAGGUCUUAAAGUGAGAGGACCAAGGGGGAAGUUCUGGGAAGCCAAGGGAACCGCAAUGUUUACAGGAUGGGCGGGGAACAGACAGCGCAGAUGUGGAACAGGCAGGGACAUUACUGGUCAGUGCAGUACAAAUUCAGGAACCAGGGGCGCAGCCAGGAUUACCAGGCCGGAUCAGUACCAGUCAAACAGUGCAGAACAGAAUCAGGAGCCAGGAGCGUAGCCAGGAUAAACAGGCCGGAGUCAAAACCAAUCAGUAACAUGGUACCGAGUCAGGAUCCAGAAGAGUGCUCAAACAGGCAAGGGUCGAUUGACUAGUAAUUCAAAGAUUCAACCAGCACAUGUCUAUUAAAAUCAACACCUUAAGGCAGCUACUAGCAGGAGAAAUCAAAACAGUUGCCCCGCUUAGGGAUGUAAGGAAGAACCAGUACGCUAAAAGAAAAAUAUUGUUCAAUGGUUCAUCAGGGUUCCGUUCCCCGACUGGGAAGUGUGCCUUUUUUUCUAUAUGUAAGUACUCCAGACAGUUACUUGUCUUCAAAGUGGCAUUUGACAAAAUCAUCAAAAAAAUACAAAGGUGUGUUAAAUUAGCGCACAGCAGGAGUACAUUACCAGUGUGAGAUCAACCGAGGUCCCGCACCAGAGCCAGUCCUCGUUAGUAUAGUGGUGAGUAUCCCCGCCUGUCACGCGGGAGACCGGGGUUCAAUUCCCCGACGGGGAGGUGUGAUUUUGAGUUAGUGCUUCAGACAGCUACUUAACUUCAAAGUGGCAUUUGACAAAAUACAAAUAGAAAACAUGUGCAUGUGUGUGUUAAACUAGCAGAUUAUCAAAUAAAUACCGAUAAUCAAAGUACUCACAGCUAGCUGCCGUACUGAGAUACAAGUAAGUGAGCGAGUAAUCAGUGUUAUUCAGACACACACAAGCAUUGCAGUUGUAUAAACAUGGUUAUUACUGACAAAGAGUACGGGAACAAAAACGCUAAGCCCACGAGUCAGUAUCAGUAAUUAGGGGUAUAGCCAUCCUGUUAACAUAAUUAUUGGGGUAGCGAUUACAUAGAAAAAGGACUCAUUAUAAAAUAAAGGCGCGCAUAGGCUGAAGGAGCUCGAGCGGGAACCGUCUUUGUUAUCAUUCCCAAUAUUGCCUAUAUGAGCUAUCGUUUUAAAGGGGAAGGAAGACAAAUGUUUAAAUGGUGACCUUUGUUGAGAUCUGGUUAAAAUGAAAUAAUGGCCAUAGACCAACCAACAAAAUGUACAGAACUUUUUAGUACAGUGGCAUAACUGCCAUUUGGCUCCUUCAGUCCGGAUAAGUCCCCCAUGGGCCCCCUGCAGAUAAAGCAGAACCGCUCCCCCUCACAGCCACAGCCUUCUCUGUAGUUCCACCACUGUUUCAGUACCAGUAUAAGUCCGCGGAUCUGGAAACCACGAUGACAAUAGCAUGAAGUCAAGAGAAGCUGUCUUUAUCGACCAAGGUACCAUGUCAACAUGAUACAUCAGCAGAUGAAACUUUUAAACCUGCCUGAUUGACACAUAGCUCAUAAACAACAGACCCGAAAGACAGCCCAGGGGCAGUAUGGCAUCAACCGGACUUAAACAAUUACCAGCGCAAUCCAAUUCACACCAAAGUGCAAACACAACUGCACUCAUUUUAAUGCAUCAGCCACAGGUGUGUCAGGUGCAACUCCUCCAGGUGACUGCAGCAAAGCUGGAAUUUGCUGGAUGUGCUUUCAUAUGUAAGUACUCCUGACAAUUACUUGUCUUCAAAGCGGCAUUCGACAAAAUGAUAAAAAAUAUAGAUGUGUUUGCUAAAGGAGUGCACAGCAGGACUACACUGCAGGUGUAACAUAAUCCGACAAUUGCCCCCUCAACCAGUCCUCGUUAGUAUAGUGGUGAGUAUCCCCGCCUGUCACGCGGGAGACCGGGGUUCAAUUCCCCGACGGGGAGGUGUGCUUUUAACAAAAAAGUACUUCAGACAGUUACUUAACUUCAAAGUAGCAUUUGAGAACAAAAAAACAAACAAAACAUGUGCGUGUGUGUGUGUGUUAAACUUCCAGAUUAUCCUUAGUACAAGUCAAAUAAUACAUUAUAAUACAACGUGGAAUUGACGACAAUAAGGUAAGUGGAAUUCUCAUUAUCUACCAGCUGAGUUAAUAAAGUAGAUUACCUCCGUCAGAUAGGUAACCCUCAAUAAAACACAAAGUAGUCAGUUAUUUCCACUUACUCCCUCCUUUCACCCAGCAUGUGCACUAAAUUCCUUUUGGUUUCUAAUGCCUGCUAAACAGAUAGAGCACAUGUAACCAUUAGAUCGCACAAAACACUUGCUGCGUAGCGCCUUCAGUUGGCAGUACACAAUAAGUUCCGAGUUGUUUGGCGAGGUCACCAAACGUGCGGAUCUUUCCCCAUAUAUGUCCACCGUAGGUGGGCAACAUCAGGCUUAGGGCCAAACGGUGAUAAAACAGCCAGAAUAUAAGCCGUUGGAGUGAGAACAACUAGCCGAUGCAGUCCUCGAUCCGUCUGGAAAAUCGAAACCUGCCUGACCGAGAUGCCCGAUGGGCCCAAUGGCCAAGUUGAACAUUAAGCAUCGCAAAGAAACUUUCUUGGAAGUGAAGUUGAUAGUGUGGUCUUUCAGCUUAUAGCGUAUAUUAAUGCUUCGACUCCUGUGUAUAAUUCAAAAGAUAAAGUUUGACCACACUUUAGUCAUGAAGAUUCUGCCUUUCUGCCCAAGGAAAAUCUGAUUUCCCACUCUACUCAAACUAUAUCAGGAAAAGUGUUGGAUCUGCCCACAGAGGGAAAAUCUCAGGCAAGAUCAACUAUAUUUCCAGAAGCUAGCCAAUCUGAAGUUAACAGCUUGACCAUUGAUAGUAUGAUUUUGGAGAGCCACUGUUUGACUUAUGAAGUUAUAAAAACCUAACAUAAACACAAUUUAUGUUCAUGUUUUUCAAAUCAAUGACAUGAUACUCUUUAAAUAUGAUUCCUCUAUACAUUUCCCCAUAAUAACUUGCUUAUUUUGUAGUCCCCUUCACCCCAUAUCGGGCUGUCCAACUGGCGGCCCGCGACCCCUCUUGUGCUGGGACUUCAGAAACAUCACCGUUUAUGAAAGGAGAUGCAAACUCCUAGCAUAUCUUCUCUAGUAUAAGCAAGGCAACCUUAAAUCACCUAAGCAAAAUCCAACCGCCAGUGCCACUUGGCCGGUUAGCUCAGUUGGUUAGAGCGUGGUGCUAAUAACGCCAAGGUCGCGGGUUCGAUCCCCGUACGGGCCACUUUUUAAAAUUUAAAGUGCAAUCUUCUACACAACAAUGAAACCUCUUCAUUCCUCUACACCUCGUCUCUUGUCUCUCCAUAUGUUCCUGGCCAAAUCCUCCACUCGUCUCAGAGCUACCACUCCUUUGCACCACGCCGCUACUACUGCUCUUUCUGACCUUAAACCCUUCUGUCUUGCUGCUUUGCCUUACAUUUGGAAUGCCAUUCCUGCAUUCAUCCAGAGAGAAUUCCCCCUUGGUUUCUUCAGAACUAAACUUCAAGAUUACCACUUUAAGCACUUGCAUAAGACCUGAACUAGGAACUGGCACUUAUAUGGCUGUCACGUACGGUAUCCCAAAAGCGAGAUGUAAAACCACAAGGCCCUGGCUCACGCUUCCCUUCUGCCACUCACAACCGCCUUUCGCUUCGGGAGGAGCCCUCUGCUGCGCAGAUGCCGCCAGGUCUUAAAGUGAGAGGACCAAGGGGGAAGUUCUGGGAAGCCAAGGGAACCGCAAUGUUUACAGGAUGGGCGGGGAACAGACAGCGCAGAUGUGGAACAGGCAGGGACAUUACUGGUCAGUGCAGUACAAAUUCAGGAACCAGGGGCGCAGCCAGGAUUACCAGGCCGGAUCAGUACCAGUCAAACAGUGCAGAACAGAAUCAGGAGCCAGGAGCGUAGCCAGGAUAAACAGGCCGGAGUCAAAACCAAUCAGUAACAUGGUACCGAGUCAGGAUCCAGAAGAGUGCUCAAACAGGCAAGGGUCGAUUGACUAGUAAUUCAAAGAUUCAACCAGCACAUGUCUAUUAAAAUCAACACCUUAAGGCAGCUACUAGCAGGAGAAAUCAAAACAGUUGCCCCGCUUAGGGAUGUAAGGAAGAACCAGUACGCUAAAAGAAAAAUAUUGUUCAAUGGUUCAUCAGGGUUCCGUUCCCCGACUGGGAAGUGUGCCUUUUUUUCUAUAUGUAAGUACUCCAGACAGUUACUUGUCUUCAAAGUGGCAUUUGACAAAAUCAUCAAAAAAAUACAAAGGUGUGUUAAAUUAGCGCACAGCAGGAGUACAUUACCAGUGUGAGAUCAACCGAGGUCCCGCACCAGAGCCAGUCCUCGUUAGUAUAGUGGUGAGUAUCCCCGCCUGUCACGCGGGAGACCGGGGUUCAAUUCCCCGACGGGGAGGUGUGAUUUUGAGUUAGUGCUUCAGACAGCUACUUAACUUCAAAGUGGCAUUUGACAAAAUACAAAUAGAAAACAUGUGCAUGUGUGUGUUAAACUAGCAGAUUAUCAAAUAAAUACCGAUAAUCAAAGUACUCACAGCUAGCUGCCGUACUGAGAUACAAGUAUAGCUAUCAAUCAUAGCGAGUAAUCAGUGUUAUUCAGACACACACAAGCAUUGCAGUUGUAUAAACAUGGUUAUUACUGACAAAGAGUACGGGAACAAAAACGCUAAGCCCACGAGUCAGUAUCAGUAAUUAGGGGUAUAGCCAUCCUGUUAACAUAAUUAUUGGGGUAGCGAUUACAUAGAAAAAGGACUCAUUAUAAAAUAAAGGCGCGCAUAGGCUGAAGGAGCUCGAGCGGGAACCGUCUUUGUUAUCAUUCCCAAUAUUGCCUAUAUGAGCUAUCGUUUUAAAGGGGAAGGAAGACAAAUGUUUAAAUGGUGACCUUUGUUGAGAUCUGGUUAAAAUGAAAUAAUGGCCAUAGACCAACCAACAAAAUGUACAGAACUUUUUAGUACAGUGGCAUAACUGCCAUUUGGCUCCUUCAGUCCGGAUAAGUCCCCCAUGGGCCCCCUGCAGAUAAAGCAGAACCGCUCCCCCUCACAGCCACAGCCUUCUCUGUAGUUCCACCACUGUUUCAGUACCAGUAUAAGUCCGCGGAUCUGGAAACCACGAUGACAAUAGCAUGAAGUCAAGAGAAGCUGUCUUUAUCGACCAAGGUACCAUGUCAACAUGAUACAUCAGCAGAUGAAACUUUUAAACCUGCCUGAUUGACACAUAGCUCAUAAACAACAGACCCGAAAGACAGCCCAGGGGCAGUAUGGCAUCAACCGGACUUAAACAAUUACCAGCGCAAUCCAAUUCACACCAAAGUGCAAACACAACUGCACUCAUUUUAAUGCAUCAGCCACAGGUGUGUCAGGUGCAACUCCUCCAGGUGACUGCAGCAAAGCUGGAAUUUGCUGGAUGUGCUUUCAUAUGUAAGUACUCCUGACAAUUACUUGUCUUCAAAGCGGCAUUCGACAAAAUGAUAAAAAAUAUAGAUGUGUUUGCUAAAGGAGUGCACAGCAGGACUACACUGCAGGUGUAACAUAAUCCGACAACUGCCCCCUCAACCAGUCCUCGUUAGUAUAGUGGUGAGUAUCCCCGCCUGUCACGCGGGAGACCGGGGUUCAAUUCCCCGACGGGGAGGUGUGCUUUUAACAAAAAAGUACUUCAGACAGUUACUUAACUUCAAAGUAGCAUUUGAGAACAAAAAAACAAACAAAACAUGUGCGUGUGUGUGUGUGUGUUAAACUUCCAGAUUAUCCUUAGUACAAGUCAAAUAAUACAUUAUAAUACAACGUGGAAUUGACGACAAUAAGGUAAGUGGAAUUCUCAUUAUCUACCAGCUGAGUUAAUAAAGUAGAUUACCUCCGUCAGAUAGGUAACCCUCAAUAAAACACAAAGUAGUCAGUUAUUUCCACUUACUCCCUCCUUUCACCCAGCAUGUGCACUAAAUUCCUUUUGGUUUCUAAUGCCUGCUAAACAGAUAGAUCACAUGUAACCAUUAGAUCGCACAAAACACUUGCUGCGUAGCGCCUUCAGUUGGCAGUACACAAUAAGUUCCGAGUUGUUUGGCGAGGUCACCAAACGUGCGGAUCUUUCCCCAUAUAUGUCCACCGUAGGUGGGCAACAUCAGGCUUAGGGCCAAACGGUGAUAAAACAGCCAGAAUAUAAGCCGUUGGAGUGAGAACAACUAGCCGAUGCAGUCCUCGAUCCGUCUGGAAAAUCGAAACCUGCCUGACCGAGAUGCCCGAUGGGCCCAAUGGCCAAGUUGAACAUUAAGCAUCGCAAAGAAACUUUCUUGGAAGUGAAGUUGAUAGUGUGGUCUUUCAGCUUAUAGCGUAUAUUAAUGCUUCGACUCCUGUGUAUAAUUCAAAAGAUAAAGUUUGACCACACUUUAGUCAUGAAGAUUCUGCCUUUCUGCCCAAGGAAAAUCUGAUUUCCCACUCUACUCAAACUAUAUCAGGAAAAGUGUUGGAUCUGCCCACAGAGGGAAAAUCUCAGGCAAGAUCAACUAUAUUUCCAGAAGCUAGCCAAACUGAAGUUAACAGCUUGACCAUUGAUAGUAUGAUUUUGGAGAGCCACUGUUUGACUUAUGAAGUUAUAAAAACCUAACAUAAACACAAUUUAUGUUCAUGUUUUUCAAAUCAAUGACAUGAUACUCUUUAAAUAUGAUUCCUCUAUACAUUUCCCCAUAAUAACUUGCUUAUUUUGUAGUCCCCUUCACCCCAUAUCGGGCUGUCCAACUGGCGGCCCGCGACCCCUCUUGUGCUGGGACUUCAGAAACAUCACCGUUUAUGAAAGGAGAUGCAAACUCCUAGCAUAUCUUCUCUAGUAUAAGCAAGGCAACCUUAAAUCACCUAAGCAAAAUCCAACCGCCAGUGCCACUUGGCCGGUUAGCUCAGUUGGUUAGAGCGUGGUGCUAAUAACGCCAAGGUCGCGGGUUCGAUCCCCGUACGGGCCACUUUUUAAAAUUUAAAGUGCAAUCUUCUACACAACAAUGAAACCUCUUCAUUCCUCUACACCUCGUCUCUUGUCUCUCCAUAUGUUCCUGGACAAAUCCUCCACUCGUCUCAGAGCUACCACUCCUUUGCACCACGCCGCUACUACUGCUCUUUCUGACCUUAAACCCUUCUGUCUUGCUGCUUUGCCUUACAUUUGGAAUGCCAUUCCUGCAUUCAUCCAGAGAGAAUUCCCCCUUGGUUUCUUCAGAACUAAACUUCAAGAUUACCACUUUAAGCACUUGCAUAAGACCUGAACUAGGAACUGGCACUUAUAUGGCUGUCACGUACGGUAUCCCAAAAGCGAGAUGUAAAACCACAAGGCCCUGGCUCACGCUUCCCUUCUGCCACUCACAACCGCCUUUCGCUUCGGGAGGAGCCCUCUGCUGCGCAGAUGCCGCCAGGUCUUAAAGUGAGAGGACCAAGGGGGAAGUUCUGGGAAGCCAAGGGAACCGCAAUGUUUACAGGAUGGGCGGGGAACAGACAGCGCAGAUGUGGAACAGGCAGGGACAUUACUGGUCAGUGCAGUACAAAUUCAGGAACCAGGGGCGCAGCCAGGAUUACCAGGCCGGAUCAGUACCAGUCAAACAGUGCAGAACAGAAUCAGGAGCCAGGAGCGUAGCCAGGAUAAACAGGCCGGAGUCAAAACCAAUCAGUAACGUGGUACCGAGUCAGGAUCCAGAAGAGUGCUCAAACAGGCAAGGGUCGAUUGACUAGUAAUUCAAAGAUUCAACCAGCACAUGUCUAUUAAAAUCAACACCUUAAGGCAGCUACUAGCAGGAGAAAUCAAAACAGUUGCCCCGCUUAGGGAUGUAAGGAAGAACCAGUACGCUAAAAGAAAAAUAUUGUUCAAUGGUUCAUCAGGGUUCCGUUCCCCGACUGGGAAGUGUGCCUUUUUUUCUAUAUGUAAGUACUCCAGACAGUUACUUGUCUUCAAAGUGGCAUUUGACAAAAUCAUCAAAAAAAUACAAAGGUGUGUUAAAUUAGCGCACAGCAGGAGUACAUUACCAGUGUGAGAUCAACCGAGGUCCCGCACCAGAGCCAGUCCUCGUUAGUAUAGUGGUGAGUAUCCCCGCCUGUCACGCGGGAGACCGGGGUUCAAUUCCCCGACGGGGAGGUGUGAUUUUGAGUUAGUGCUUCAGACAGCUACUUAACUUCAAAGUGGCAUUUGACAAAAUACAAAUAGAAAACAUGUGCAUGUGUGUGUUAAACUAGCAGAUUAUCAAAUAAAUACCGAUAAUCAAAGUACUCACAGCUAGCUGCCGUACUGAGAUACAAGUAUAGCUAUCAAUCAUAGCGAGUAAUCAGUGUUAUUCAGACACACACAAGCAUUGCAGUUGUAUAAACAUGGUUAUUACUGACAAAGAGUACGGGAACAAAAACGCUAAGCCCACGAGUCAGUAUCAGUAAUUAGGGGUAUAGCCAUCCUGUUAACAUAAUUAUUGGGGUAGCGAUUACAUAGAAAAAGGACUCAUUAUAAAAUAAAGGCGCGCAUAGGCUGAAGGAGCUCGAGCGGGAACCGUCUUUGUUAUCAUUCCCAAUAUUGCCUAUAUGAGCUAUCGUUUUAAAGGGGAAGGAAGACAAAUGUUUAAAUGGUGACCUUUGUUGAGAUCUGGUUAAAAUGAAAUAAUGGCCAUAGACCAACCAACAAAAUGUACAGAACUUUUUAGUACAGUGGCAUAACUGCCAUUUGGCUCCUUCAGUCCGGAUAAGUCCCCCAUGGGCCCCCUGCAGAUAAAGCAGAACCGCUCCCCCUCACAGCCACAGCCUUCUCUGUAGUUCCACCACUGUUUCAGUACCAGUAUAAGUCCGCGGAUCUGGAAACCACGAUGACAAUAGCAUGAAGUCAAGAGAAGCUGUCUUUAUCGACCAAGGUACCAUGUCAACAUGAUACAUCAGCAGAUGAAACUUUUAAACCUGCCUGAUUGACACAUAGCUCAUAAACAACAGACCCGAAAGACAGCCCAGGGGCAGUAUGGCAUCAACCGGACUUAAACAAUUACCAGCGCAAUCCAAUUCACACCAAAGUGCAAACACAACUGCACUCAUUUUAAUGCAUCAGCCACAGGUGUGUCAGGUGCAACUCCUCCAGGUGACUGCAGCAAAGCUGGAAUUUGCUGGAUGUGCUUUCAUAUGUAAGUACUCCUGACAAUUACUUGUCUUCAAAGCGGCAUUCGACAAAAUGAUAAAAAAUAUAGAUGUGUUUGCUAAAGGAGUGCACAGCAGGACUACACUGCAGGUGUAACAUAAUCCGACAACUGCCCCCUCAACCAGUCCUCGUUAGUAUAGUGGUGAGUAUCCCCGCCUGUCACGCGGGAGACCGGGGUUCAAUUCCCCGACGGGGAGGUGUGCUUUUAACAAAAAAGUACUUCAGACAGUUACUUAACUUCAAAGUAGCAUUUGAGAACAAAAAAACAAACAAAACAUGUGCGUGUGUGUGUGUGUUAAACUUCCAGAUUAUCCUUAGUACAAGUCAAAUAAUACAUUAUAAUACAACGUGGAAUUGACGACAAUAAGGUAAGUGGAAUUCUCAUUAUCUACCAGCUGAGUUAAUAAAGUAGAUUACCUCCGUCAGAUAGGUAACCCUCAAUAAAACACAAAGUAGUCAGUUAUUUCCACUUACUCCCUCCUUUCACCCAGCAUGUGCACUAAAUUCCUUUUGGUUUCUAAUGCCUGCUAAACAGAUAGAUCACAUGUAACCAUUAGAUCGCACAAAACACUUGCUGCGUAGCGCCUUCAGUUGGCAGUACACAAUAAGUUCCGAGUUGUUUGGCGAGGUCACCAAACGUGCGGAUCUUUCCCCAUAUAUGUCCACCGUAGGUGGGCAACAUCAGGCUUAGGGCCAAACGGUGAUAAAACAGCCAGAAUAUAAGCCGUUGGAGUGAGAACAACUAGCCGAUGCAGUCCUCGAUCCGUCUGGAAAAUCGAAACCUGCCUGACCGAGAUGCCCGAUGGGCCCAAUGGCCAAGUUGAACAUUAAGCAUCGCAAAGAAACUUUCUUGGAAGUGAAGUUGAUAGUGUGGUCUUUCAGCUUAUAGCGUAUAUUAAUGCUUCGACUCCUGUGUAUAAUUCAAAAGAUAAAGUUUGACCACACUUUAGUCAUGAAGAUUCUGCCUUUCUGCCCAAGGAAAAUCUGAUUUCCCACUCUACUCAAACUAUAUCAGGAAAAGUGUUGGAUCUGCCCACAGAGGGAAAAUCUCAGGCAAGAUCAACUAUAUUUCCAGAAGCUAGCCAAACUGAAGUUAACAGCUUGACCAUUGAUAGUAUGAUUUUGGAGAGCCACUGUUUGACUUAUGAAGUUAUAAAAACCUAACAUAAACACAAUUUAUGUUCAUGUUUUUCAAAUCAAUGACAUGAUACUCUUUAAAUAUGAUUCCUCUAUACAUUUCCCCAUAAUAACUUGCUUAUUUUGUAGUCCCCUUCACCCCAUAUCGGGCUGUCCAACUGGCGGCCCGCGACCCCUCUUGUGCUGGGACUUCAGAAACAUCACCGUUUAUGAAAGGAGAUGCAAACUCCUAGCAUAUCUUCUCUAGUAUAAGCAAGGCAACCUUAAAUCACCUAAGCAAAAUCCAACCGCCAGUGCCACUUGGCCGGUUAGCUCAGUUGGUUAGAGCGUGGUGCUAAUAACGCCAAGGUCGCGGGUUCGAUCCCCGUACGGGCCACUUUUUAAAAUUUAAAGUGCAAUCUUCUACACAACAAUGAAACCUCUUCAUUCCUCUACACCUCGUCUCUUGUCUCUCCAUAUGUUCCUGGACAAAUCCUCCACUCGUCUCAGAGCUACCACUCCUUUGCACCACGCCGCUACUACUGCUCUUUCUGACCUUAAACCCUUCUGUCUUGCUGCUUUGCCUUACAUUUGGAAUGCCAUUCCUGCAUUCAUCCAGAGAGAAUUCCCCCUUGGUUUCUUCAGAACUAAACUUCAAGAUUACCACUUUAAGCACUUGCAUAAGACCUGAACUAGGAACUGGCACUUAUAUGGCUGUCACGUACGGUAUCCCAAAAGCGAGAUGUAAAACCACAAGGCCCUGGCUCACGCUUCCCUUCUGCCACUCACAACCGCCUUUCGCUUCGGGAGGAGCCCUCUGCUGCGCAGAUGCCGCCAGGUCUUAAAGUGAGAGGACCAAGGGGGAAGUUCUGGGAAGCCAAGGGAACCGCAAUGUUUACAGGAUGGGCGGGGAACAGACAGCGCAGAUGUGGAACAGGCAGGGACAUUACUGGUCAGUGCAGUACAAAUUCAGGAACCAGGGGCGCAGCCAGGAUUACCAGGCCGGAUCAGUACCAGUCAAACAGUGCAGAACAGAAUCAGGAGCCAGGAGCGUAGCCAGGAUAAACAGGCCGGAGUCAAAACCAAUCAGUAACAUGGUACCGAGUCAGGAUCCAGAAGAGUGCUCAAACAGGCAAGGGUCGAUUGACUAGUAAUUCAAAGAUUCAACCAGCACAUGUCUAUUAAAAUCAACACCUUAAGGCAGCUACUAGCAGGAGAAAUCAAAACAGUUGCCCCGCUUAGGGAUGUAAGGAAGAACCAGUACGCUAAAAGAAAAAUAUUGUUCAAUGGUUCAUCAGGGUUCCGUUCCCCGACUGGGAAGUGUGCCUUUUUUUCUAUAUGUAAGUACUCCAGACAGUUACUUGUCUUCAAAGUGGCAUUUGACAAAAUCAUCAAAAAAAUACAAAGGUGUGUUAAAUUAGCGCACAGCAGGAGUACAUUACCAGUGUGAGAUCAACCGAGGUCCCGCACCAGAGCCAGUCCUCGUUAGUAUAGUGGUGAGUAUCCCCGCCUGUCACGCGGGAGACCGGGGUUCAAUUCCCCGACGGGGAGGUGUGAUUUUGAGUUAGUGCUUCAGACAGCUACUUAACUUCAAAGUGGCAUUUGACAAAAUACAAAUAGAAAACAUGUGCAUGUGUGUGUUAAACUAGCAGAUUAUCAAAUAAAUACCGAUAAUCAAAGUACUCACAGCUAGCUGCCGUACUGAGAUACAAGUAUAGCUAUCAAUCAUAGCGAGUAAUCAGUGUUAUUCAGACACACACAAGCAUUGCAGUUGUAUAAACAUGGUUAUUACUGACAAAGAGUACGGGAACAAAAACGCUAAGCCCACGAGUCAGUAUCAGUAAUUAGGGGUAUAGCCAUCCUGUUAACAUAAUUAUUGGGGUAGCGAUUACAUAGAAAAAGGACUCAUUAUAAAAUAAAGGCGCGCAUAGGCUGAAGGAGCUCGAGCGGGAACCGUCUUUGUUAUCAUUCCCAAUAUUGCCUAUAUGAGCUAUCGUUUUAAAGGGGAAGGAAGACAAAUGUUUAAAUGGUGACCUUUGUUGAGAUCUGGUUAAAAUGAAAUAAUGGCCAUAGACCAACCAACAAAAUGUACAGAACUUUUUAGUACAGUGGCAUAACUGCCAUUUGGCUCCUUCAGUCCGGAUAAGUCCCCCAUGGGCCCCCUGCAGAUAAAGCAGAACCGCUCCCCCUCACAGCCACAGCCUUCUCUGUAGUUCCACCACUGUUUCAGUACCAGUAUAAGUCCGCGGAUCUGGAAACCACGAUGACAAUAGCAUGAAGUCAAGAGAAGCUGUCUUUAUCGACCAAGGUACCAUGUCAACAUGAUACAUCAGCAGAUGAAACUUUUAAACCUGCCUGAUUGACACAUAGCUCAUAAACAACAGACCCGAAAGACAGCCCAGGGGCAGUAUGGCAUCAACCGGACUUAAACAAUUACCAGCGCAAUCCAAUUCACACCAAAGUGCAAACACAACUGCACUCAUUUUAAUGCAUCAGCCACAGGUGUGUCAGGUGCAACUCCUCCAGGUGACUGCAGCAAAGCUGGAAUUUGCUGGAUGUGCUUUCAUAUGUAAGUACUCCUGACAAUUACUUGUCUUCAAAGCGGCAUUCGACAAAAUGAUAAAAAAUAUAGAUGUGUUUGCUAAAGGAGUGCACAGCAGGACUACACUGCAGGUGUAACAUAAUCCGACAACUGCCCCCUCAACCAGUCCUCGUUAGUAUAGUGGUGAGUAUCCCCGCCUGUCACGCGGGAGACCGGGGUUCAAUUCCCCGACGGGGAGGUGUGAUUUUGAGUUAGUGCUUCAGACAGCUACUUAACUUCAAAGUGGCAUUUGACAAAAUACAAAUAGAAAACAUGUGCAUGUGUGUGUUAAACUAGCAGAUUAUCAAAUAAAUACCGAUAAUCAAAGUACUCACAGCUAGCUGCCGUACUGAGAUACAAGUAUAGCUAUCAAUCAUAGCGAGUAAUCAGUGUUAUUCAGACACACACAAGCAUUGCAGUUGUAUAAACAUGGUUAUUACUGACAAAGAGUACGGGAACAAAAACGCUAAGCCCACGAGUCAGUAUCAGUAAUUAGGGGUAUAGCCAUCCUGUUAACAUAAUUAUUGGGGUAGCGAUUACAUAGAAAAAGGACUCAUUAUAAAAUAAAGGCGCGCAUAGGCUGAAGGAGCUCGAGCGGGAACCGUCUUUGUUAUCAUUCCCAAUAUUGCCUAUAUGAGCUAUCGUUUUAAAGGGGAAGGAAGACAAAUGUUUAAAUGGUGACCUUUGUUGAGAUCUGGUUAAAAUGAAAUAAUGGCCAUAGACCAACCAACAAAAUGUACAGAACUUUUUAGUACAGUGGCAUAACUGCCAUUUGGCUCCUUCAGUCCGGAUAAGUCCCCCAUGGGCCCCCUGCAGAUAAAGCAGAACCGCUCCCCCUCACAGCCACAGCCUUCUCUGUAGUUCCACCACUGUUUCAGUACCAGUAUAAGUCCGCGGAUCUGGAAACCACGAUGACAAUAGCAUGAAGUCAAGAGAAGCUGUCUUUAUCGACCAAGGUACCAUGUCAACAUGAUACAUCAGCAGAUGAAACUUUUAAACCUGCCUGAUUGACACAUAGCUCAUAAACAACAGACCCGAAAGACAGCCCAGGGGCAGUAUGGCAUCAACCGGACUUAAACAAUUACCAGCGCAAUCCAAUUCACACCAAAGUGCAAACACAACUGCACUCAUUUUAAUGCAUCAGCCACAGGUGUGUCAGGUGCAACUCCUCCAGGUGACUGCAGCAAAGCUGGAAUUUGCUGGAUGUGCUUUCAUAUGUAAGUACUCCUGACAAUUACUUGUCUUCAAAGCGGCAUUCGACAAAAUGAUAAAAAAUAUAGAUGUGUUUGCUAAAGGAGUGCACAGCAGGACUACACUGCAGGUGUAACAUAAUCCGACAACUGCCCCCUCAACCAGUCCUCGUUAGUAUAGUGGUGAGUAUCCCCGCCUGUCACGCGGGAGACCGGGGUUCAAUUCCCCGACGGGGAGGUGUGCUUUUAACAAAAAAGUACUUCAGACAGUUACUUAACUUCAAAGUAGCAUUUGAGAACAAAAAAACAAACAAAACAUGUGCGUGUGUGUGUGUGUUAAACUUCCAGAUUAUCCUUAGUACAAGUCAAAUAAUACAUUAUAAUACAACGUGGAAUUGACGACAAUAAGGUAAGUGGAAUUCUCAUUAUCUACCAGCUGAGUUAAUAAAGUAGAUUACCUCCGUCAGAUAGGUAACCCUCAAUAAAACACAAAGUAGUCAGUUAUUUCCACUUACUCCCUCCUUUCACCCAGCAUGUGCACUAAAUUCCUUUUGGUUUCUAAUGCCUGCUAAACAGAUAGAUCACAUGUAACCAUUAGAUCGCACAAAACACUUGCUGCGUAGCGCCUUCAGUUGGCAGUACACAAUAAGUUCCGAGUUGUUUGGCGAGGUCACCAAACGUGCGGAUCUUUCCCCAUAUAUGUCCACCGUAGGUGGGCAACAUCAGGCUUAGGGCCAAACGGUGAUAAAACAGCCAGAAUAUAAGCCGUUGGAGUGAGAACAACUAGCCGAUGCAGUCCUCGAUCCGUCUGGAAAAUCGAAACCUGCCUGACCGAGAUGCCCGAUGGGCCCAAUGGCCAAGUUGAACAUUAAGCAUCGCAAAGAAACUUUCUUGGAAGUGAAGUUGAUAGUGUGGUCUUUCAGCUUAUAGCGUAUAUUAAUGCUUCGACUCCUGUGUAUAAUUCAAAAGAUAAAGUUUGACCACACUUUAGUCAUGAAGAUUCUGCCUUUCUGCCCAAGGAAAAUCUGAUUUCCCACUCUACUCAAACUAUAUCAGGAAAAGUGUUGGAUCUGCCCACAGAGGGAAAAUCUCAGGCAAGAUCAACUAUAUUUCCAGAAGCUAGCCAAACUGAAGUUAACAGCUUGACCAUUGAUAGUAUGAUUUUGGAGAGCCACUGUUUGACUUAUGAAGUUAUAAAAACCUAACAUAAACACAAUUUAUGUUCAUGUUUUUCAAAUCAAUGACAUGAUACUCUUUAAAUAUGAUUCCUCUAUACAUUUCCCCAUAAUAACUUGCUUAUUUUGUAGUCCCCUUCACCCCAUAUCGGGCUGUCCAACUGGCGGCCCGCGACCCCUCUUGUGCUGGGACUUCAGAAACAUCACCGUUUAUGAAAGGAGAUGCAAACUCCUAGCAUAUCUUCUCUAGUAUAAGCAAGGCAACCUUAAAUCACCUAAGCAAAAUCCAACCGCCAGUGCCACUUGGCCGGUUAGCUCAGUUGGUUAGAGCGUGGUGCUAAUAACGCCAAGGUCGCGGGUUCGAUCCCCGUACGGGCCACUUUUUAAAAUUUAAAGUGCAAUCUUCUACACAACAAUGAAACCUCUUCAUUCCUCUACACCUCGUCUCUUGUCUCUCCAUAUGUUCCUGGACAAAUCCUCCACUCGUCUCAGAGCUACCACUCCUUUGCACCACGCCGCUACUACUGCUCUUUCUGACCUUAAACCCUUCUGUCUUGCUGCUUUGCCUUACAUUUGGAAUGCCAUUCCUGCAUUCAUCCAGAGAGAAUUCCCCCUUGGUUUCUUCAGAACUAAACUUCAAGAUUACCACUUUAAGCACUUGCAUAAGACCUGAACUAGGAACUGGCACUUAUAUGGCUGUCACGUACGGUAUCCCAAAAGCGAGAUGUAAAACCACAAGGCCCUGGCUCACGCUUCCCUUCUGCCACUCACAACCGCCUUUCGCUUCGGGAGGAGCCCUCUGCUGCGCAGAUGCCGCCAGGUCUUAAAGUGAGAGGACCAAGGGGGAAGUUCUGGGAAGCCAAGGGAACCGCAAUGUUUACAGGAUGGGCGGGGAACAGACAGCGCAGAUGUGGAACAGGCAGGGACAUUACUGGUCAGUGCAGUACAAAUUCAGGAACCAGGGGCGCAGCCAGGAUUACCAGGCCGGAUCAGUACCAGUCAAACAGUGCAGAACAGAAUCAGGAGCCAGGAGCGUAGCCAGGAUAAACAGGCCGGAGUCAAAACCAAUCAGUAACAUGGUACCGAGUCAGGAUCCAGAAGAGUGCUCAAACAGGCAAGGGUCGAUUGACUAGUAAUUCAAAGAUUCAACCAGCACAUGUCUAUUAAAAUCAACACCUUAAGGCAGCUACUAGCAGGAGAAAUCAAAACAGUUGCCCCGCUUAGGGAUGUAAGGAAGAACCAGUACGCUAAAAGAAAAAUAUUGUUCAAUGGUUCAUCAGGGUUCCGUUCCCCGACUGGGAAGUGUGCCUUUUUUUCUAUAUGUAAGUACUCCAGACAGUUACUUGUCUUCAAAGUGGCAUUUGACAAAAUCAUCAAAAAAAUACAAAGGUGUGUUAAAUUAGCGCACAGCAGGAGUACAUUACCAGUGUGAGAUCAACCGAGGUCCCGCACCAGAGCCAGUCCUCGUUAGUAUAGUGGUGAGUAUCCCCGCCUGUCACGCGGGAGACCGGGGUUCAAUUCCCCGACGGGGAGGUGUGAUUUUGAGUUAGUGCUUCAGACAGCUACUUAACUUCAAAGUGGCAUUUGACAAAAUACAAAUAGAAAACAUGUGCAUGUGUGUGUUAAACUAGCAGAUUAUCAAAUAAAUACCGAUAAUCAAAGUACUCACAGCUAGCUGCCGUACUGAGAUACAAGUAUAGCUAUCAAUCAUAGCGAGUAAUCAGUGUUAUUCAGACACACACAAGCAUUGCAGUUGUAUAAACAUGGUUAUUACUGACAAAGAGUACGGGAACAAAAACGCUAAGCCCACGAGUCAGUAUCAGUAAUUAGGGGUAUAGCCAUCCUGUUAACAUAAUUAUUGGGGUAGCGAUUACAUAGAAAAAGGACUCAUUAUAAAAUAAAGGCGCGCAUAGGCUGAAGGAGCUCGAGCGGGAACCGUCUUUGUUAUCAUUCCCAAUAUUGCCUAUAUGAGCUAUCGUUUUAAAGGGGAAGGAAGACAAAUGUUUAAAUGGUGACCUUUGUUGAGAUCUGGUUAAAAUGAAAUAAUGGCCAUAGACCAACCAACAAAAUGUACAGAACUUUUUAGUACAGUGGCAUAACUGCCAUUUGGCUCCUUCAGUCCGGAUAAGUCCCCCAUGGGCCCCCUGCAGAUAAAGCAGAACCGCUCCCCCUCACAGCCACAGCCUUCUCUGUAGUUCCACCACUGUUUCAGUACCAGUAUAAGUCCGCGGAUCUGGAAACCACGAUGACAAUAGCAUGAAGUCAAGAGAAGCUGUCUUUAUCGACCAAGGUACCAUGUCAACAUGAUACAUCAGCAGAUGAAACUUUUAAACCUGCCUGAUUGACACAUAGCUCAUAAACAACAGACCCGAAAGACAGCCCAGGGGCAGUAUGGCAUCAACCGGACUUAAACAAUUACCAGCGCAAUCCAAUUCACACCAAAGUGCAAACACAACUGCACUCAUUUUAAUGCAUCAGCCACAGGUGUGUCAGGUGCAACUCCUCCAGGUGACUGCAGCAAAGCUGGAAUUUGCUGGAUGUGCUUUCAUAUGUAAGUACUCCUGACAAUUACUUGUCUUCAAAGCGGCAUUCGACAAAAUGAUAAAAAAUAUAGAUGUGUUUGCUAAAGGAGUGCACAGCAGGACUACACUGCAGGUGUAACAUAAUCCGACAACUGCCCCCUCAACCAGUCCUCGUUAGUAUAGUGGUGAGUAUCCCCGCCUGUCACGCGGGAGACCGGGGUUCAAUUCCCCGACGGGGAGGUGUGCUUUUAACAAAAAAGUACUUCAGACAGUUACUUAACUUCAAAGUAGCAUUUGAGAACAAAAAAACAAACAAAACAUGUGCGUGUGUGUGUGUGUUAAACUUCCAGAUUAUCCUUAGUACAAGUCAAAUAAUACAUUAUAAUACAACGUGGAAUUGACGACAAUAAGGUAAGUGGAAUUCUCAUUAUCUACCAGCUGAGUUAAUAAAGUAGAUUACCUCCGUCAGAUAGGUAACCCUCAAUAAAACACAAAGUAGUCAGUUAUUUCCACUUACUCCCUCCUUUCACCCAGCAUGUGCACUAAAUUCCUUUUGGUUUCUAAUGCCUGCUAAACAGAUAGAUCACAUGUAACCAUUAGAUCGCACAAAACACUUGCUGCGUAGCGCCUUCAGUUGGCAGUACACAAUAAGUUCCGAGUUGUUUGGCGAGGUCACCAAACGUGCGGAUCUUUCCCCAUAUAUGUCCACCGUAGGUGGGCAACAUCAGGCUUAGGGCCAAACGGUGAUAAAACAGCCAGAAUAUAAGCCGUUGGAGUGAGAACAACUAGCCGAUGCAGUCCUCGAUCCGUCUGGAAAAUCGAAACCUGCCUGACCGAGAUGCCCGAUGGGCCCAAUGGCCAAGUUGAACAUUAAGCAUCGCAAAGAAACUUUCUUGGAAGUGAAGUUGAUAGUGUGGUCUUUCAGCUUAUAGCGUAUAUUAAUGCUUCGACUCCUGUGUAUAAUUCAAAAGAUAAAGUUUGACCACACUUUAGUCAUGAAGAUUCUGCCUUUCUGCCCAAGGAAAAUCUGAUUUCCCACUCUACUCAAACUAUAUCAGGAAAAGUGUUGGAUCUGCCCACAGAGGGAAAAUCUCAGGCAAGAUCAACUAUAUUUCCAGAAGCUAGCCAAACUGAAGUUAACAGCUUGACCAUUGAUAGUAUGAUUUUGGAGAGCCACUGUUUGACUUAUGAAGUUAUAAAAACCUAACAUAAACACAAUUUAUGUUCAUGUUUUUCAAAUCAAUGACAUGAUACUCUUUAAAUAUGAUUCCUCUAUACAUUUCCCCAUAAUAACUUGCUUAUUUUGUAGUCCCCUUCACCCCAUAUCGGGCUGUCCAACUGGCGGCCCGCGACCCCUCUUGUGCUGGGACUUCAGAAACAUCACCGUUUAUGAAAGGAGAUGCAAACUCCUAGCAUAUCUUCUCUAGUAUAAGCAAGGCAACCUUAAAUCACCUAAGCAAAAUCCAACCGCCAGUGCCACUUGGCCGGUUAGCUCAGUUGGUUAGAGCGUGGUGCUAAUAACGCCAAGGUCGCGGGUUCGAUCCCCGUACGGGCCACUUUUUAAAAUUUAAAGUGCAAUCUUCUACACAACAAUGAAACCUCUUCAUUCCUCUACACCUCGUCUCUUGUCUCUCCAUAUGUUCCUGGCCAAAUCCUCCACUCGUCUCAGAGCUACCACUCCUUUGCACCACGCCGCUACUACUGCUCUUUCUGACCUUAAACCCUUCUGUCUUGCUGCUUUGCCUUACAUUUGGAAUGCCAUUCCUGCAUUCAUCCAGAGAGAAUUCCCCCUUGGUUUCUUCAGAACUAAACUUCAAGAUUACCACUUUAAGCACUUGCAUAAGACCUGAACUAGGAACUGGCACUUAUAUGGCUGUCACGUACGGUAUCCCAAAAGCGAGAUGUAAAACCACAAGGCCCUGGCUCACGCUUCCCUUCUGCCACUCACAACCGCCUUUCGCUUCGGGAGGAGCCCUCUGCUGCGCAGAUGCCGCCAGGUCUUAAAGUGAGAGGACCAAGGGGGAAGUUCUGGGAAGCCAAGGGAACCGCAAUGUUUACAGGAUGGGCGGGGAACAGACAGCGCAGAUGUGGAACAGGCAGGGACAUUACUGGUCAGUGCAGUACAAAUUCAGGAACCAGGGGCGCAGCCAGGAUUACCAGGCCGGAUCAGUACCAGUCAAACAGUGCAGAACAGAAUCAGGAGCCAGGAGCGUAGCCAGGAUAAACAGGCCGGAGUCAAAACCAAUCAGUAACAUGGUACCGAGUCAGGAUCCAGAAGAGUGCUCAAACAGGCAAGGGUCGAUUGACUAGUAAUUCAAAGAUUCAACCAGCACAUGUCUAUUAAAAUCAACACCUUAAGGCAGCUACUAGCAGGAGAAAUCAAAACAGUUGCCCCGCUUAGGGAUGUAAGGAAGAACCAGUACGCUAAAAGAAAAAUAUUGUUCAAUGGUUCAUCAGGGUUCCGUUCCCCGACUGGGAAGUGUGCCUUUUUUUCUAUAUGUAAGUACUCCAGACAGUUACUUGUCUUCAAAGUGGCAUUUGACAAAAUCAUCAAAAAAAUACAAAGGUGUGUUAAAUUAGCGCACAGCAGGAGUACAUUACCAGUGUGAGAUCAACCGAGGUCCCGCACCAGAGCCAGUCCUCGUUAGUAUAGUGGUGAGUAUCCCCGCCUGUCACGCGGGAGACCGGGGUUCAAUUCCCCGACGGGGAGGUGUGAUUUUGAGUUAGUGCUUCAGACAGCUACUUAACUUCAAAGUGGCAUUUGACAAAAUACAAAUAGAAAACAUGUGCAUGUGUGUGUUAAACUAGCAGAUUAUCAAAUAAAUACCGAUAAUCAAAGUACUCACAGCUAGCUGCCGUACUGAGAUACAAGUAUAGCUAUCAAUCAUAGCGAGUAAUCAGUGUUAUUCAGACACACACAAGCAUUGCAGUUGUAUAAACAUGGUUAUUACUGACAAAGAGUACGGGAACAAAAACGCUAAGCCCACGAGUCAGUAUCAGUAAUUAGGGGUAUAGCCAUCCUGUUAACAUAAUUAUUGGGGUAGCGAUUACAUAGAAAAAGGACUCAUUAUAAAAUAAAGGCGCGCAUAGGCUGAAGGAGCUCGAGCGGGAACCGUCUUUGUUAUCAUUCCCAAUAUUGCCUAUAUGAGCUAUCGUUUUAAAGGGGAAGGAAGACAAAUGUUUAAAUGGUGACCUUUGUUGAGAUCUGGUUAAAAUGAAAUAAUGGCCAUAGACCAACCAACAAAAUGUACAGAACUUUUUAGUACAGUGGCAUAACUGCCAUUUGGCUCCUUCAGUCCGGAUAAGUCCCCCAUGGGCCCCCUGCAGAUAAAGCAGAACCGCUCCCCCUCACAGCCACAGCCUUCUCUGUAGUUCCACCACUGUUUCAGUACCAGUAUAAGUCCGCGGAUCUGGAAACCACGAUGACAAUAGCAUGAAGUCAAGAGAAGCUGUCUUUAUCGACCAAGGUACCAUGUCAACAUGAUACAUCAGCAGAUGAAACUUUUAAACCUGCCUGAUUGACACAUAGCUCAUAAACAACAGACCCGAAAGACAGCCCAGGGGCAGUAUGGCAUCAACCGGACUUAAACAAUUACCAGCGCAAUCCAAUUCACACCAAAGUGCAAACACAACUGCACUCAUUUUAAUGCAUCAGCCACAGGUGUGUCAGGUGCAACUCCUCCAGGUGACUGCAGCAAAGCUGGAAUUUGCUGGAUGUGCUUUCAUAUGUAAGUACUCCUGACAAUUACUUGUCUUCAAAGCGGCAUUCGACAAAAUGAUAAAAAAUAUAGAUGUGUUUGCUAAAGGAGUGCACAGCAGGACUACACUGCAGGUGUAACAUAAUCCGACAAUUGCCCCCUCAACCAGUCCUCGUUAGUAUAGUGGUGAGUAUCCCCGCCUGUCACGCGGGAGACCGGGGUUCAAUUCCCCGACGGGGAGGUGUGCUUUUAACAAAAAAGUACUUCAGACAGUUACUUAACUUCAAAGUAGCAUUUGAGAACAAAAAAACAAACAAAACAUGUGCGUGUGUGUGUGUGUUAAACUUCCAGAUUAUCCUUAGUACAAGUCAAAUAAUACAUUAUAAUACAACGUGGAAUUGACGACAAUAAGGUAAGUGGAAUUCUCAUUAUCUACCAGCUGAGUUAAUAAAGUAGAUUACCUCCGUCAGAUAGGUAACCCUCAAUAAAACACAAAGUAGUCAGUUAUUUCCACUUACUCCCUCCUUUCACCCAGCAUGUGCACUAAAUUCCUUUUGGUUUCUAAUGCCUGCUAAACAGAUAGAUCACAUGUAACCAUUAGAUCGCACAAAACACUUGCUGCGUAGCGCCUUCAGUUGGCAGUACACAAUAAGUUCCGAGUUGUUUGGCGAGGUCACCAAACGUGCGGAUCUUUCCCCAUAUAUGUCCACCGUAGGUGGGCAACAUCAGGCUUAGGGCCCAACGGUGAUAAAACAGCCAGAAUAUAAGCCGUUGGAGUGAGAACAACUAGCCGAUGCAGUCCUCGAUCCGUCUGGAAAAUCGAAACCUGCCUGACCGAGAUGCCCGAUGGGCCCAAUGGCCAAGUUGAACAUUAAGCAUCGCAAAGAAACUUUCUUGGAAGUGAAGUUGAUAGUGUGGUCUUUCAGCUUAUAGCGUAUAUUAAUGCUUCGACUCCUGUGUAUAAUUCAAAAGAUAAAGUUUGACCACACUUUAGUCAUGAAGAUUCUGCCUUUCUGCCCAAGGAAAAUCUGAUUUCCCACUCUACUCAAACUAUAUCAGGAAAAGUGUUGGAUCUGCCCACAGAGGGAAAAUCUCAGGCAAGAUCAACUAUAUUUCCAGAAGCUAGCCAAACUGAAGUUAACAGCUUGACCAUUGAUAGUAUGAUUUUGGAGAGCCACUGUUUGACUUAUGAAGUUAUAAAAACCUAACAUAAACACAAUUUAUGUUCAUGUUUUUCAAAUCAAUGACAUGAUACUCUUUAAAUAUGAUUCCUCUAUACAUUUCCCCAUAAUAACUUGCUUAUUUUGUAGUCCCCUUCACCCCAUAUCGGGCUGUCCAACUGGCGGCCCGCGACCCCUCUUGUGCUGGGACUUCAGAAACAUCACCGUUUAUGAAAGGAGAUGCAAACUCCUAGCAUAUCUUCUCUAGUAUAAGCAAGGCAACCUUAAAUCACCUAAGCAAAAUCCAACCGCCAGUGCCACUUGGCCGGUUAGCUCAGUUGGUUAGAGCGUGGUGCUAAUAACGCCAAGGUCGCGGGUUCGAUCCCCGUACGGGCCACUUUUUAAAAUUUAAAGUGCAAUCUUCUACACAACAAUGAAACCUCUUCAUUCCUCUACACCUCGUCUCUUGUCUCUCCAUAUGUUCCUGGACAAAUCCUCCACUCGUCUCAGAGCUACCACUCCUUUGCACCACGCCGCUACUACUGCUCUUUCUGACCUUAAACCCUUCUGUCUUGCUGCUUUGCCUUACAUUUGGAAUGCCAUUCCUGCAUUCAUCCAGAGAGAAUUCCCCCUUGGUUUCUUCAGAACUAAACUUCAAGAUUACCACUUUAAGCACUUGCAUAAGACCUGAACUAGGAACUGGCACUUAUAUGGCUGUCACGUACGGUAUCCCAAAAGCGAGAUGUAAAACCACAAGGCCCUGGCUCACGCUUCCCUUCUGCCACUCACAACCGCCUUUCGCUUCGGGAGGAGCCCUCUGCUGCGCAGAUGCCGCCAGGUCUUAAAGUGAGAGGACCAAGGGGGAAGUUCUGGGAAGCCAAGGGAACCGCAAUGUUUACAGGAUGGGCGGGGAACAGACAGCGCAGAUGUGGAACAGGCAGGGACAUUACUGGUCAGUGCAGUACAAAUUCAGGAACCAGGGGCGCAGCCAGGAUUACCAGGCCGGAUCAGUACCAGUCAAACAGUGCAGAACAGAAUCAGGAGCCAGGAGCGUAGCCAGGAUAAACAGGCCGGAGUCAAAACCAAUCAGUAACAUGGUACCGAGUCAGGAUCCAGAAGAGUGCUCAAACAGGCAAGGGUCGAUUGACUAGUAAUUCAAAGAUUCAACCAGCACAUGUCUAUUAAAAUCAACACCUUAAGGCAGCUACUAGCAGGAGAAAUCAAAACAGUUGCCCCGCUUAGGGAUGUAAGGAAGAACCAGUACGCUAAAAGAAAAAUAUUGUUCAAUGGUUCAUCAGGGUUCCGUUCCCCGACUGGGAAGUGUGCCUUUUUUCUAUAUGUAAGUACUCCAGACAGUUACUUGUCUUCAAAGUGGCAUUUGACAAAAUCAUCAAAAAAAUACAAAGGUGUGUUAAAUUAGCGCACAGCAGGAGUACAUUACCAGUGUGAGAUCAACCGAGGUCCCGCACCAGAGCCAGUCCUCGUUAGUAUAGUGGUGAGUAUCCCCGCCUGUCACGCGGGAGACCGGGGUUCAAUUCCCCGACGGGGAGGUGUGAUUUUGAGUUAGUGCUUCAGACAGCUACUUAACUUCAAAGUGGCAUUUGACAAAAUACAAAUAGAAAA